RNA transcript from Sphaeramia orbicularis (orbiculate cardinalfish), 3399 nucleotides. It is a transcript of the gene named mitochondrial translational initiation factor 2, with no coding region annotated. The record is from RefSeq and is a predicted model, not a curated record. The transcript has 16 exons. NCBI's taxonomy places the organism in Eukaryota, Metazoa, Chordata, Actinopteri, Kurtiformes, Apogonidae.
UCCAGUCGGCUCUUCUCGGCUUCUCUCAGCAGACUGUCAUGGCGGCUCCCUGUCGCAGCUUAAAGUCACGGUGUCAGGUUGUUUCCAGGUGAAGGUGAGCAACAGAGAAAACGUCCACCUUCAGGUAUGAAUGUGAUGUCAUCAGUGAUGGGCGGGGCACGGCGACUUGUCUGCUCAGAGGUCAGAUGUGAGCUCCUUGGGACCCUGCUGUCUGUACCCCGAAGUUCCACCCCCCUACUCAUCCGUCAACAGAGACAUGCCUCUAAACAGGUCAAAGGUCAGAGGAAGGAGCCAAAGAUCCAGAAGGUCAAAGUGAAAGUGGACAAACAGGAAGUAGAAAUCAGACAGAGGAUGACGGCAGCGGCUCUUGCUCAGGCCAUGAACAAAGACUUUGAUCACGUGGUGGAGGCGCUGCUGAACACGACGCUGGACGUGGACUCUCUGGAGCCAGACUCAGUUCUUGAGGAGCGGUGGAUCAAAGAGGUGGUGUCCCGGUCUGGGAUGAAGUUCAGGUGGGCUAGAGUGAACGAGAGCCGAGAGCGAGAGAACCGGGAUGCCGUCAGGAGACCCUCAGCGGACCCAUCCUGCCUGGAGCCCCGACCCCCUGUGGUGACCAUCAUGGGUCAUGUGGACCACGGGAAGACCACCAUGUUGGACAGUCUGAGGAAAAGCCAGAUUGUGUCCACAGAGGCCGGUGGUAUCACACAGCACAUUGGUGCUUUUUUAGUUCAGUUGCCAACGGGUGAGAAGAUCACCUUCCUGGACACCCCAGGUCACGCUGCCUUCUCCUCCAUGAGAGCCCGCGGAGCCAACGCCACUGACAUCGUCAUCCUUGUGGUGGCAGCGGACGAUGGCGUCAUGAACCAGACAGUGGAAUCCAUCCAACACGCCAAGAAAGCAAAAGUUCCCAUCAUUGUGGCGGUGAAUAAGUGUGAUAAACCUCAGGCCAACCCUCAGAGAGUCAAACAGGAGCUCCUCACCCACAACGUCGUCUGCGAGGAGUUUGGUGGUGAUGUCCAGGCCAUCCACGUCUCUGCCCUUAAGGGUGAUAACCUGCUGGCUCUGGCUGAGGCCACAGUGGCAUUGGCAGAGGUUUUGGAGCUGAAGGCGGAGCCUCACGGUGCUAUGGAGGGACUCAUCAUUGAAAGUCGCACUGAUAAAGGCAAAGGGCCUGUUACGACAGCAGUUGUCCAACGGGGGACUCUGCGACGUGGAUGCAUCCUGGUAGCAGGAAAGAGCUGGGCCAAGGUCCGCUUCCUGUUUGAUGAGAAUGGCCGAGCAGUGACAGAGGCAGGGCCAAGUGUUGCAGUGGAGGUGGUUGGCUGGAAAGAGCUGCCGUCUGCUGGAGAAACCAUCCUAGAGGUGGAGUCUGAGCAGCGUGCAAGGGAGGUGGUGGAGUGGAGGAGAUAUGAGGAGGAGCAGCAGAAGCUGAAGGAGGAGCAGAGUGCCAUUGAGGCCAAGCAGCAGCUCCACCUGCAGGAGUACCGCCGCGAGAGAGCAGAGCUUGAACACCUGAGCUGGAGACAGAGGAAGUCUGCUCUUUACCGAGCCAACAAGACCAAGUUCGCCUUGAGAGCCAGUGAGAGGUAUCAGAGAGACGAGUUGAUUCUGCCAGUCAUCAUCAAAGGUGACGUGGAUGGUUCGGUGGAGACCAUACUCAACAUCCUGGACAGUUACGAUGCUCAGCAUCAGUGUCAGAUGGAGGUCAUUCACUUUGGUGUCGGCGAUAUUUCAGAGAACGACAUCAACAUGGCAGAAAUGUUUGCAGGUUCCAUCUAUGGCUUUAAUGUCGGUGUCACUAAAUCAAUACAGCAGCUGGCGGUGAAGAAAGGCGUCCCUGUGAAAAUGAACUCCAUCAUCUACAAGCUCAUCGAUGACCUGAAAGACGAGCUCAACAGCAAACUGCCACCACUCGUCACCGAGAACAUCAUGGGUGAAGCCACUGUCGUUGCCAUGUUUGAUGUCACAGUGGGGAAGAAGAAGGUGGUGGUUGCCGGCUGCCGGGUCCAGAAAGGACAGCUGGACCGACGCCUCCAGUUCAGACUGAUCCGAGGCAGGGACACCAUCUGGGAGGGAGCCUUGGUGGCGCUGAAGCAUCACAAAGACGAUGUUCAGACGGUGAAGACGGGGGUGGAGUGUGGUUUGUCGGUGGAUGGAGAUGUCGAUUUCAGAGCAGGAGAUGUGGUCGUGUGCUUUGAAGAGGUGGAUGCUCCACAGGUCACGACCUGGGACCCUGGAUUUUGACUCCCAUCAUCCUCUGCUGCUGCAUGACGAGUAUACUGACUGACUAUAAAGACAAUAAAAACAAGUGAUGCAUGGGCCAAACAUCAGCAAGGGGCGGAGUUCCCCUCAUUGACGAAUUAUGUUUAUGCUUUAUUAAAAGAUACUGUGAUGAAUCUCAAACCUCACCUGUUUCUCAUUUAAAGACAAGUCUUAAAUCCAUUUAGUUCGACAUGUUUAAUAAAAGAUGGAGCAGAAACAGAAACACAUUUCACAUUUUUAAAGAAAUGAUAAUCAAUGAGAAGGCCCUUUUUAAUUGGUCAGAGCUCAGACUAAAACUAAAAACCAAAACUCACAAGGUUGAAAAACGUAAGAAUGCUUCCUGUUCACCAGCAGGUGAAGCCAGAACCACUAUGACCUUUGACCUCUUCACUUCCUCUUGGCCUUACUGGGCUUGGCGAGCAGCGCUGGGUCAAUCUGAUCUGCCUUCAUUCCUCUGAUAGCAAAAAGACGGGCAGCACGCUCCACCAACGUCCCGCCACACUUCAGCCCUCGAAGCAUCAGCUCCUCCUUCAGAAUGUCCAGACCCAGAGCCUCUAACUGCUCCACACUCUCCACCCCCUGCAGGUCCACAGGGGAGUGCUGUUCCCCCGCUGCUGCUUGGGGAUCCACAGGGGGACUCAAUUCCCUCGCUGCUGCCUGGGGGUCCACAGGGGGUUGCUGUUCCCCCACCGCUGUCUGGGGGUCCAAUGGGGGGCUCUGUUCCCCUGCUGCUGCCUGGGGGUCUACAGGGGGGCACUGCUGACAGGGAUGACAAAUACUUCAUGAAAACAGUGAUGUUCAGACCUGCUGUGAACUGGAACUGGCCUCUGCAGGUCUGGAUCUGGGUUCAGGACUCUGGUCUCUGGAGGAUCUGGGGGGUGAAGGUAAACUGAAAAGAUGACCAGAAUUUACCAGAAAUUAUUUUGUGAGAAGCAGAAACUAAAAGAUGUUUUUGAGGAGCUGCUGCAGAAUCUGGACUCUGUGGACCAUCUAGACCUAUGGAACUAUGUGGACUAAUGUGACCAGGAUCACCAGAACACUUCCAUUUGUCUGCAAGAUUCACAUCCUGUCUGGACUAAGACACUGACUGGCAAAUAAAAUUGAUAAAUUCACCAAUAAAUCACAGAUCUGUGUGAA